AUGCUUGUUUCUGUAGCACAUAUACUAAAAUUGGAAUGAUACAGAGAAGAUUAGCAUGGCCCCUGCGCAGGAUGACGUGCAAAUUCGUGAAGCAUUCCAUAUUUUU
Gorilla gorilla gorilla (western lowland gorilla) is the source of this 106-nucleotide small nuclear RNA. NCBI's taxonomy places the organism in Eukaryota, Metazoa, Chordata, Mammalia, Primates, Hominidae. The record is from Ensembl.